This 353-nucleotide long non-coding RNA is filed under the name Equus asinus (donkey). RNAcentral's name for it is "lncRNA (ENSEASG00005025542.1)". Lineage: Eukaryota; Metazoa; Chordata; Mammalia; Perissodactyla; Equidae. The record is from RNAcentral.
AGAGAACUAGAGAGAAAGCAGUAUGAGAAAGACUCGACAUGACUUGUGAAGAUGAAGGAGGGGGAUCAGGAGCCAGGAAAUAAUAAUCUGGAAGUCUUCCUGGAAGAGGUUAUGCUAAAGGUGACAUCAGUUUCUCUAGGAUGAAGCAAGUCCUGAUGUCUUCAGAGGAGUCCAAGCCACCAGUUAAGCACUCACAGAUACAGAUUGUGUCCAGCAUUCCCCAGGAAAUCCGCCUGGCUGAACCUUGGCCAACAAACGAACUGUUUUUUGACUUGAUAUCUUCAUGUAAAAACAGUGCAUCACACUCUCCCUCAGAGAGAUGUUGUAUUAUCAAAUAAGAGAAGAUGUAAAAG